RNAcentral lists this microRNA (18 nucleotides) under Corchorus olitorius. RNAcentral's name for it is "oan-miR-13". The record is from RNAcentral. Lineage: Eukaryota; Viridiplantae; Streptophyta; Magnoliopsida; Malvales; Malvaceae.
GAGAGAAAAAAGAGAACU